UCUCUGGAGGCACACCUUCCGCGAUUCCUUCGUGAGUUGCAGUUGGCACGGCCGAAGUUGACCGAACUUGAUGAUUUAUAGGAAGUAAAAGUCGUAACAAGGUUUCCGUAUGUGAACCUGCGGAAGGAUCAUUA
This 134-nucleotide non-coding RNA is filed under the name Anopheles gambiae (African malaria mosquito). RNAcentral describes it as "Eukaryotic small subunit ribosomal RNA". It matches the Rfam family "Eukaryotic small subunit ribosomal RNA", at positions 1707 to 1831 of the family's 1831-position model. The record is from Rfam by way of RNAcentral. Lineage: Eukaryota; Metazoa; Arthropoda; Insecta; Diptera; Culicidae.